AUUGAACGCUGGCGGCAGGCUUAACACAUGCAAGUCGAGCGGAGAGAGGUAGCUUGCUACUGAUCUUAGCGGCGGACGGGUGAGUAAUGCUUAGGAAUCUGCCUAUUAGUGGGGGACAACAUUUCGAAAGGAAUGCUAAUACCGCAUACGCCCUACGGGAGAAAGCAGGGGAUCUUCGGACCUUGCGCUAAUAGAUGAGCCUAAGUCGGAUUAGCUAGUUGGUGGGGUAAAGGCCUACCAAGGCGACGAUCUGUAGCGGGUCUGAGAGGAUGAUCCGCCACACUGGGACUGAGACACGGCCCAGACUCCUACGGGAGGCAGCAGUGGGGAAUAUUGAACAAUGGGCGGAAGCCUGAUCUAGCCAUGCCGCGUGUGUGAAGGAGGCCUUAUGGUUGUAAAGCACUUUAAGCGAGGAGGAGGCUACUUUAGUUAAUACCUAGAGAUAGUGGACGUUACUCGCAGAAUAAGCACCGGCUAACUCUGUGCCAGCCGCCGCCGUAA
RNAcentral lists this ribosomal RNA (501 nucleotides) under uncultured bacterium. Its description in RNAcentral is "partial 16S ribosomal RNA". It matches the Rfam family "Bacterial small subunit ribosomal RNA", at positions 30 to 523 of the family's 1533-position model. The record is from RNAcentral.